This 392-nucleotide ribosomal RNA is filed under the name uncultured bacterium. RNAcentral describes it as "partial 16S ribosomal RNA". It matches the Rfam family "Bacterial small subunit ribosomal RNA", at positions 523 to 918 of the family's 1533-position model. The record is from RNAcentral.
AUACGGAGGAUCCGAGCGUUAUCCGGAUUUAUUGGGUUUAAAGGGUGCGCAGGCGGCCAUUUAAGUCAGCGGUUAAAUCGUGGGGCUCAACCCCAUUCUGCCGUUGAUACUGGGUGGCUUGAUUGCGGUCGAGGUUGGCGGAAUUCGUUGUGUAGCGGUGAAAUGCAUAGAUAUGACGAAGAGCACCGACUGCGUAGGCAGCUGACCAGACCGCAAAUGACGCUCAUGCACGAAAGUGCGGGGAUCGAACAGGAUUAGAUACCCUGGUAGUCCGCACAGUAAACGAUGAAUACUUGUUUUCGGCGAUAUAAUGUCGGAGGCAAAGCGAAAGCGAUAAGUAUUCCACCUGGGGAGUACGCCGGCAACGGUGAAACUCAAAGGAAUUGACGGGG